Molecule: long non-coding RNA, 233 nt
Filed under: Homo sapiens (human)
Lineage: Eukaryota; Metazoa; Chordata; Mammalia; Primates; Hominidae
Description: non-protein coding lnc-SCN4B-51:1
Source: RNAcentral
CUGGCAACAGGGCUCUCUCUCUUGGAUGUCUCAGCCAUGACAGAGACUUCUCACAUCGGAGCAGUGUCAUGGGAUGAUAUUUACUGUGAAUAGGAAGUCCCACGCCCCCCAGGUUAUAACUCCUCUACAGGAUGGCCGGGAGCUUGAAGAUGUUCUCAAUCACACACUCUGGCCUCUGCAGAACCUAAUGUUGGGGUGAGGACUCCAUCAGCACCUUGGGCCUGAUCCUUGGC